UUGUUGUUUUGUGUUACGGGCGUAUGGUGGAUGCCUUGGCAUGCUGGGCCGAUGAAGGACGUGUGAGGCUGCGUUAAGCCUCGGGGAGUUGCCAACAGUGCGUUGAUCCGAGGAUGUCCGAAUGGGGAAACCCAACACCAGUUGUGUGGUGUUACCUGCAGGUGAAUGCAUAGCCUGUGUGGAGGUGACGUGGGGAAGUGAAACAUCUCAGUACCCACAGGAGAAGAAAACAAUUUGUGAUUCCGUGUGUAGUGGCGAGCGAUAGCGGAUGAGGCUAAACCGUGUGCGUGUGAUACCUGGGUAGGGGUUGCGUGUGCGGUGUUGUGGGGUGUGAUCGUUGCGGGCUACCUGACCGUGAGAUGGUGUGUGUGCGUUAGCGGAAACGUCUGGGAUGGCGUGCCGGAGCGGGUGAUUAGCCCCGUACGUGAAGGCGUUGCAUAUGUUGUCUGAUCAUGUUUUCCCCGAGUAGCAGCGGGCUCGUGAAAUCUGCUGUGAAUCUGCCGGGACCACCCGGUAAGCCUAAAUACCCAGUGUGACCGAUAGUGAAUAGUACCGUGAGGGAAUGGUGAAAAGUACCCCGGGAGGGGAGUGAAAGAGUUCCUGAAACCAUGCGCUUACAAUCCGUCAGAGCACCGUUUGUGUGUGAUGGCGUGCCUUUUGAAGAAUGAGCCUGCGAGUCAGCGGCAUGUCGCGAGGUUAACCCGUUAUGUGGGGUAGUCGUAGCGAAAGCGAAUCCUAAGAGGGUGUCAAGUGGCAUGUCCUGGACCCGAAGCGGGGUGAUCUACCCAUGGCCAGUGUGAAGCAGCUGUAAGAGGUUGUGGAGGCGCGAACCCACUUAGGUUGAAAACUGAGGGGAUGAGCUGUGGGUAGGGGUGAAAGGCCAAUCAAACUCCGUGAUAGCUGGUUCUCCCCGAAAUGCAUUUAGGUGCAGCGUGAUGUGUGCUUACCGGAGGUAGAGCUACUGGAUGGCCGAGCGGGACUAUCAUCUUAGUGGACGUCAGCCAAACUCCGAAUGCCGGUGAAGUUUUAGCAUUGCAGUGAGACUGUGGGGGAUAAGCUUCAUAGUCGAGAGGGAAACAGCCCAGAUCGCCGGUUAAGGCCCCUAAGGGUGUGCUAAGUGGAAAAGGAUGUGGGAUCGCGAAGACAGCCAGGAGGUUGGCUUAGAAGCAGCCAUCCUUGAAAGAGUGCGUAAUAGCUCACUGGUCGAGUGGUUCUGCGCCGACAAUGUAGUGGGGCUCAAGCACACCGCCGAAGCCGCGGCAUAGUUUUUACUAUGGGUAGGGGAGCGUCGUGUGUGGGGUGAAGCCGUAUCGGAAGAAGCGGUGGACUGCACGCGAGUGAGAAUGCAGGCAUGAGUAACGAAUGAUACGUGAGAAUCGUAUCCGCCGAAUGACUAAGGGUUCCUGGGUCAAGUUCGUCUUCCCAGGGUGAGUCGGGUCCUAAGGCGAGGCCGACAGGCGUAGUCGAUGGUCAACGGGUUGAUAUUCCCGUACCCGUAUAUACGCGCCCAGUAUCGAAGCGGUGAUACUAACCACCCA
This 1538-nucleotide ribosomal RNA is filed under the name Corynebacterium sp. HMSC055D05. RNAcentral's name for it is "bacterial LSU rRNA". It matches the Rfam family "Bacterial large subunit ribosomal RNA", at positions 1 to 1485 of the family's 2925-position model. Lineage: Bacteria; Bacillati; Actinomycetota; Actinomycetes; Mycobacteriales; Corynebacteriaceae. The record is from RNAcentral.